CAGCGUCACAAGUGGGAAUCACGAUUAUUGGGCCUAAAGCAUCCGUAGCCGGCGCUGUAAGUUUUCGGUUAAAUCUGUACGCUCAACGUACAGGCUGCCGGGAAUACUGCAGCGCUAGGGAGUGGGAGAGGUAGACGGUACUCGGUAGGAAGGGGUAAAAUCCUUUGAUCUAUUGAUGACCACCUGUGGCGAAGGCGGUCUACCAGAACACGUCCGACGGUGAGGGAUGAAAGCUGGGGGAGCAAACCGGAUUAGAUACCCGAGUAGUCC
Molecule: ribosomal RNA, 270 nt
Filed under: uncultured archaeon
Lineage: Archaea
Description: partial 16S ribosomal RNA
Rfam family: Archaeal small subunit ribosomal RNA
Source: RNAcentral